CGUAGGGCGCGAGCGUUAAUCGGAAUUACUGGGCGUAAAGCGUGCGCAGGCGGUUUGUUAAGAUAGGCGUGAAAUCCCCGGGCUCAACCUGGGAACUGCGCUUAUGACUGGCAAGCUAGAGUACGGCAGAGGGGGUGGAAUUCCACGUGUAGCAGUGAAAUGCGUAGAGAUGUGGAGGAACACCAAUGGCGAAGGCAGCCCCCUGGGUCGAUACUGACGCUCAUGCACGAAAGCGUGGGUAGCAAACAGGAUUAGAUACCCUGGUAGUCCACGCCCUAAACGAUGUCAACUAGGUGUUGGAUGGGUAAAACCAUUUAGUACCGGAGCUAACGCGUGAAGUUGACCGCCUGGGGAGUACGGCCGCAAGGUUA
This 371-nucleotide ribosomal RNA is filed under the name uncultured organism. Its description in RNAcentral is "bacterial SSU rRNA". It matches the Rfam family "Bacterial small subunit ribosomal RNA", at positions 526 to 896 of the family's 1533-position model. The record is from RNAcentral.